AUCAGUUGGCCCCUCACACGCUCAUCCGAGGCAACAAACAGUUGCGAGGACUUUCUCAAUGGCUGAAUCCGCUCAAGGUAGAAAGCCACAGCCUGUCAAGCAUGUGGAGGUGGUGUUCCACACUGGAUGCGUGAAGCUUGGGGCAGAGGACUGGUAGAAAAAUGUCCUGACCCAUGUGGUCUGACGCAUCGGACACCAACUCCAGCGACGGGACCCCUUGGAGCAUGUUGUUCGGGUGGACCACCAUCACAGGAAGAGCUUUCCCAUCAAACGGGAGAUCCUGCAUGGAAGUUUGCACCUCGCUGGAGAGCCCGGAGAGCAGGAGCUCAUGGACACCGUGGAGGCCAUUGAAUGUGAAGCCGUGUCCGCAACAUCCAAGACAGCCUGCAGGGAAGCCCGAGCUCCUGUUGCCCCUUCCUCCACCAGCACCCUAAACUCCUCCUAUCACACUCCUGGAGGGAUACCUCAAAUUUAGGCAGGGAGCCGCACAGUUUAAAUUCGGAGUGACCCAAGAGGGCCUGAUGGU
Mauremys reevesii (Reeves's turtle) is the source of this 526-nucleotide long non-coding RNA. RefSeq lists it as uncharacterized. The record is from RefSeq and is a predicted model, not a curated record. The transcript has 3 exons. Lineage: Eukaryota; Metazoa; Chordata; Testudines; Geoemydidae.